This 497-nucleotide ribosomal RNA is filed under the name uncultured bacterium. Its description in RNAcentral is "partial 16S ribosomal RNA". It matches the Rfam family "Bacterial small subunit ribosomal RNA", at positions 29 to 523 of the family's 1533-position model. The record is from RNAcentral.
AUUGAACGCUGGCGGCAUGCCUAACACAUGCAAGUCGCACGCGAAAGGGGGCAACCCUGAGUAGAGUGGCGGACGGGUGAGUAACGCGUAGGAAUCUACCUGGUAGUGGGGGACAACCCGGUGAAAACCGGGCUAAUACCGCAUACGAUCCACGGAUGAAAGCAGGGGACCGCAAGGCCUUGCGCUAUCAGAUGAGCCUGCGUCGGAUUAGCUAGUUGGUGAGGUAAAGGCUCACCAAGGCAACGAUCCGUAGCUGGGUUGAGAGAACGACCAGCCAAACUGGGACUGGGACACGGCCCAGACUCCGACGGGAGGCAGCAGUGGGGAAUAUUGGACAAUGGGGGCAACCCUGAUCCAGCAAUGCCGCGUGUGUGAAGAAGGCCUUCGGGUUGUAAAGCACUUUCGGUUGAGAAGAAAUCGCACGGGCUAAUACUCUGUGCGGAUGACGGUAUCAACAUAAGAAGCACCGGCUAACUACGUGCCAGCCGCCGCCGUAA